Molecule: transfer RNA, 74 nt
Filed under: Candidatus Iainarchaeum sp.
Lineage: Archaea; Nanobdellati; Candidatus Iainarchaeota; Candidatus Iainarchaeia; Candidatus Iainarchaeales; Candidatus Iainarchaeaceae
Description: tRNA-Ile
Rfam family: tRNA
About the family: Transfer RNA (tRNA) molecules are approximately 80 nucleotides in length. Their secondary structure includes four short double-helical elements and three loops (D, anti-codon, and T loops). Further hydrogen bonds mediate the characteristic L-shaped molecular structure. tRNAs have two regions of fundamental functional importance: the anti-codon, which is responsible for specific mRNA codon recognition, and the 3' end, to which the tRNAs corresponding amino acid is attached (by aminoacyl-tRNA synthetases). tRNAs cope with the degeneracy of the genetic code in two manners: having more than one tRNA (with a specific anti-codon) for a particular amino acid; and 'wobble' base-pairing, i.e. permitting non-standard base-pairing at the 3rd anti-codon position.
Source: RNAcentral
GGAAGGGUAGCUCAGUUGGUAGUAGCACACGACUGAUAAUCGUGAGGUCGGGAGUUCGAACCUCCCCCUUUCCA